RNAcentral lists this ribosomal RNA (254 nucleotides) under uncultured microorganism. RNAcentral describes it as "partial 16S ribosomal RNA". It matches the Rfam family "Archaeal small subunit ribosomal RNA", at positions 474 to 727 of the family's 1478-position model. The record is from RNAcentral.
UACCGACGGCUCGAGUGGUGGCCACUUUUAUUGGGUCUAAAGCGUCCGUAGCCGGCCGACUAAGUCUCUUGGGAAAUCUGGCAUCUCAAGUGUCAGGCUGCCAGGGGAUACUGGUCGGCUUGGGACCGGGAGAGGUGAGAGGUACCUCAGGGGUAGGGGUGAAAUCUUGUGAUCCCUGAGGGACCACCAGUGGCGAAGGCGUCUCACUAGAACGGGUCCGACGGUCAGGGACGAAAGCUGGGGGCACGAACCGG